AUUGAACGCUGGCGGCAGGCCUAACACAUGCAAGUCGAACGAGUGGCGGACGGGUGAGUAAUGUAUGGAAAACUGCCUGAUGGAGGGGGAUAACUACUGGAAACGGUGGCUAAUACCGCCUACCAUCGGAUGUGGCGAGAUGGGAGUAGCUAGGAGGUGGGGUAAAGGCUCACCUAGGCGACGAUCCCUAGCUGGUCUGAGAGGAUGACCCGUCACACUGGAACUGAGACACGGUCCAGACUCCUACGGGAGGCAGCAGUGGGGAAUAUUGCACAAUGGGCGAAAGUCUGAUGCAGCCAUGCCGCGUGUGUGAAGAAGGCCUUCGGGUUGUAAAGUACUGUCAGCGAGGAGGCGUUACCCGCAGAGGAAGCACCGGCUAACUCCGUGCCAGCAGCCGCGGUAAUAC
Molecule: ribosomal RNA, 406 nt
Filed under: uncultured bacterium
Lineage: Bacteria
Description: partial 16S ribosomal RNA
Rfam family: Bacterial small subunit ribosomal RNA
Source: RNAcentral